CUCCUCCUUUGUCGUUUCCUCCUCGACGGUUUCCUCGUCCA
Molecule: non-coding RNA, 41 nt
Filed under: Plasmodium falciparum 3D7
Lineage: Eukaryota; Apicomplexa; Aconoidasida; Haemosporida; Plasmodiidae
Source: RNAcentral